RNAcentral lists this ribosomal RNA (424 nucleotides) under uncultured bacterium. RNAcentral describes it as "bacterial SSU rRNA". It matches the Rfam family "Bacterial small subunit ribosomal RNA", at positions 355 to 771 of the family's 1533-position model. The record is from RNAcentral.
UGGGGAAUAUUGGACAAUGGGCGCAAGCCUGAUCCAGCAACGCCGCGUGGAGGAAGAAGGUCUUCGGAUCGUAAACUCCUGUCAGGUGGGACGAAAAGCCGUCGGCAAAUAGUCGGCGGUCUUGACGGUACCAUCAGAGGAAGCACCGGCUAACUCCGUGCCAGCAGCCGCGGUAAUACGGAGGGGGCGAGCGUUAUUCGGAAUUAUUGGGCGUAAAGGGCGCGUAGGCGGCGAGGUAAGUCAAAGGUGAAAUCCCUCGGCUCAACCGAGGAACUGCCUUUGAAACUACCCCGCUCGAGGCCGGGAGGGGGUAGCGGAAUUCCCAGUGUAGCGGUGAAAUGCGUAGAUACUGGGAGGAACACCGGUGGCGAAGGCGGCUACCUGGACCGGUUCUGACGCUGAUGCGCGAAAGCGUGGGGAGCAA